CGAAGGGCUAGCGUUGCUCGGAAUGACUGGGCGUAAAGGGCGCGUAGGCGGCAUUGACAGUCAGGCGUGAAAUUCCUGGGCUUAACCUGGGGGCUGCGUUUGAUACGUCAGAGCUAGAGGAUGGAAGAGGCUCGUGGAAUUCCCAGUGUAGAGGUGAAAUUCGUAGAUAUUGGGAAGAACACCGGUGGCGAAGGCGGCGAGCUGGUCCAUUACUGACGCUGAGGCGCGAAAGCGUGGGAGCAAACAGGAUU
This 251-nucleotide ribosomal RNA is filed under the name uncultured bacterium. RNAcentral's name for it is "partial 16S ribosomal RNA". It matches the Rfam family "Bacterial small subunit ribosomal RNA", at positions 528 to 779 of the family's 1533-position model. The record is from RNAcentral.